GACGAACGCUGGCGGCGUGCUUAACACAUGCAAGUCGAACGGAAAGGCCCUGCUUUUGUGGGGUGCUCGAGUGGCGAACGGGUGAGUAAAACGUGGGUAACCGGCCCUUGCCUUUGGGAUACCUUAAGGAAACUGGGGCUAAUACGGGAUAGGAGCUCCUGCGCCAGGGUGGGGGUUGGAAAGUUUCGGCGGUUGGGGAUGGACUCGCGGCUUAUCAGCUUGUUGGUGGGGUAGUGGCUUACCAAGGCUUUGACGGGUAGCCGGCCUGAGAGGGUGACCGGCCACAUUGGGACUGAGAUACGGCCCAGACUCCUACGGGAGGCAGCAGUGGGGAAUAUUGCACAAUGGGCGGAAGCCUGAUGCAGCAACGCCGCGUGCGGGAUGACGGCCUUCGGGUUGUAAACCGCUUUCGCCUGUGACGAAGCGUGAGUGACGGUAAUGGGUAAAGAAGCACCGGCUAACUACGUG
This 468-nucleotide ribosomal RNA is filed under the name uncultured bacterium. RNAcentral's name for it is "partial 16S ribosomal RNA". It matches the Rfam family "Bacterial small subunit ribosomal RNA", at positions 28 to 507 of the family's 1533-position model. The record is from RNAcentral.